Molecule: ribosomal RNA, 252 nt
Filed under: uncultured bacterium
Lineage: Bacteria
Description: partial 16S ribosomal RNA
Rfam family: Bacterial small subunit ribosomal RNA
Source: RNAcentral
ACGGAGGGGGCUAGCGUUGUUCGGAAUUACUGGGCGUAAAGCGCACGUAGGCGGACCAGCAAGUUAGGGGUGAAAUCCCGGGGCUCAACCCCGGAACUGCCCUUAAAACUGCCGGUCUGGAGUUCGAGAGAGGUGAGUGGAAUUCCGAGUGUAGAGGUGAAAUUCGUAGAUAUUCGGAGGAACACCAGUGGCGAAGGCGGCUCACUGGCUCGAUACUGACGCUGAGGUGCGAAAGCGUGGGGAGCAAACAGG